RNAcentral lists this long non-coding RNA (254 nucleotides) under Homo sapiens (human). RNAcentral's name for it is "HSALNT0369179". The record is from RNAcentral. Lineage: Eukaryota; Metazoa; Chordata; Mammalia; Primates; Hominidae.
GUGACAGUGGGUUUCUCCAGUUCAACCGUUUCUCUGGAGCUGCUGAGCAUUCCAGAAUUCCUUCCUCUGAGAGCGGGACAGGAUCCUCUCUAGAAUGUUGAUCUUAUGACCUACAGUCAAACAAGGAUUAGCAAAUGUGGCAUUGCUUUCCCAUUAGGAUUAGCUGUCAACCAUCAGCUGUAAUAGUAGAAAAAUCACAGCUGUUCUCCAAGCAAGCCCAGAAGAUGAUGCUAGGAAGUUACUAUCAGUUUCUA